GAUGAACGCUGGCGGCGUGCCUAAUACAUGCAAGUCGAGCGAACAGACGAGGAUCUUGCUCCUGUGACGUUAGCGACGGACGGGUGAGUAACAAGUGGCUAACCUACCUAUAAGACUGGGAUAACUUCGGGAAACCGGAGCUAAUACCGGAUAACAUGUUCAACCGCAGGGUUCAACAGUGAAAGACGGUCUUUGUGUCGCUUAUAGAUGGAUCCGCGCGGUAUUAGCUAGUUGGUAAGGUAAGGGCUUACCAAGGAAACGAUGCGUAGCCGACCUGGGAGGGGGGUCGGCCGCACGGGAGCGGGGACACGGUCCCGAGUCCUACGGGAGGCAGCAGUCGCGAACCGUCCGCAAUGGGCGAAAGCCUGACGGAGCAACGGCGCGCGAGUGAAGACGGUCUUCGGAUCGUAAAACUCUGUUAUUAGGGGAGAACAAAUGUGUAAGUAACAAUGCACGACUUGACGGUACCUAAUCAGAAAGCCACGGCUAACUACGUG
This 497-nucleotide ribosomal RNA is filed under the name uncultured bacterium. RNAcentral describes it as "partial 16S ribosomal RNA". It matches the Rfam family "Bacterial small subunit ribosomal RNA", at positions 28 to 507 of the family's 1533-position model. The record is from RNAcentral.